Molecule: long non-coding RNA, 706 nt
Filed under: Homo sapiens (human)
Lineage: Eukaryota; Metazoa; Chordata; Mammalia; Primates; Hominidae
Description: non-protein coding LINC01239:12
Source: RNAcentral
GUCUUUUAUUUUCUGUUCCUCUAAGGGAAGAGAGACCAAAGAGAAUUCUACUUUGACCCUGGCUUAAGAGUGGAACAUAGAUGUCUAUAAAACUAUGUGGUACCAGCAUGUUAUGAAGAAUAAGCAAGAAGAAAGAGAAGGAGAAGAAGCAGGAGGAGGAGGAGAGAAGGAAAGGGAGGAGGAGGAGGAGAAAAAGAUGGUGGUAGAGGAGGAGGAGAAGAAGAAGAAGGAGGAGAAGGAGAAGGAGAAGAAGGAGCAGGAGGAGGAGGAAGAAGAAGAAGAGGAGAAGGGAACUCACAUGCUACCUGUGUGAGUCACAUGUCAGUGCAAUUUCUGGAGGUCAAUUGUAGCCCUGAAGUCUCAGAACAAUGGCAAAAAGAAAUACGGAGGGCAUGAUACAUUUGGCAGACUAAAAUUCUCAAGAUUCCUAUGCAGUCGAGUUUUACCAUAUGACUGAGUUCCAACAAAGAAAUAUGAGUAGAAGAUUGUAUAAGCAUCAUUUUUGACCCAGGGCUUUAAGAAGCAGUGUAGAUUCUUCAAGGAAAGGAACCAUCUCUUCUUUCUCCUUUGGUACUAUCAAGCAACAUCUUCGACAUCUACUUCAUCUACUGGAAGAAACCUCCCACGUUCUCCAGAGUUGUCAACCAUGUACCAGGAUAUGAUGCAAAUAUAAAGGGAUCAUUGCUUUUAUCUUGUCCUCUUACAG